GUGCCAGCCGCCGCGGUAAUACGGAGGAUGCAAGCGUUAUCCGGAUUUAUUGGGUUUAAAGGGUGCGUAGGCUGUUCGUCAAGUCAGAGGUGAAAUACCACAGCUUAACUGUGGAACUGCCUUUGAUACUGGCGAGCUGGAAUACGGAUGCCGUGGGAGGAAUGAGUAGUGUAGCGGUGAAAUGCAUAGAUAUUACUCAGAACACCGAUUGCGAAGGCAUCUCACGAAUCCGUCAUUGACGCUGAGGCACGAAAGCGUGGGGAUCAAACAGGAUUAGAUACCCUGGUAGUCCACGCAGUAAACGAUGAUAACUAACCGUCGGCGAUAGAGUGUCGGUGGCCAAGCGAAAGCGAUAAGUUAUCCACCUGGGGAGUACGUUCGCAAGAAUGAAACUCAAAGGAAUUGACGGGGGCCCGCACAAGCGGGGGAACAUGUGGUUUAAUUCGAUGAUACGCGAGGAACCUUACCCGGGCUCGAACGGCAAGUGAAGCGAAGCAGAGAUGCUGACGUCCUUUCGGGGACACUUGUCGAGGUGCUGCAUGGUUGUCGUCAGCUCGUGUCGUGAGAUGUUGGCUCAAGUGCCAUAACGAGCGCAACCCUUGCUGCUAGUUACCAGCAUGUAGAGAUGGGGACUCUAGCAGGACUGCCACCGCAAGGUGUGAGGAAGGCGGGGAUGACGUCAAAUCAGCACGGCCCUUACGUCCGGGGCGACACACGUGUUACAAUGGUGACUACAGAGGGAAGCCACCCAGCGAUGGGGAGCGAAUCUCGAAAAGUCAUCUCAGUUCGGAUCGGAGUCUGCAACCCGACUCCGUGAAGCUGGAUUCGCUAGUAAUCGCGCACCAGCCAUGGCGCGGUGAAUACGUUCCCGGGCCUUGUACACACCGCCCG
RNAcentral lists this ribosomal RNA (891 nucleotides) under uncultured bacterium. RNAcentral's name for it is "bacterial SSU rRNA". It matches the Rfam family "Bacterial small subunit ribosomal RNA", at positions 505 to 1396 of the family's 1533-position model. The record is from RNAcentral.